UAGUGGCGCACGGGUGCGUAACGCGUGGGAAUCUGCCCUUGGGUUCGGAAUAACUUCUGGAAACGGAAGCUAAUACCGGAUGAUGACGUAAGUCCAAAGAUUUAUCGCCCAAGGAUGAGCCCGCGUAGGAUUAGCUAGUUGGUGAGGUAAAGGCUCACCAAGGCGACGAUCCUUAGCUGGUCUGAGAGGAUGAUCAGCCACACUGGGACUGAGACACGGCCCAGACUCCUACGGGAGGCAGCAGUAGGGAAUAUUGGACAAUGGGGGAAACCCUGAUCCAGCAAUGCCGCGUGAGUGAUGAAGGCCUUAGGGUUGUAAAGCUCUUUUACCCGGGAUGAUAAUGACAGUACCGGGAGAAUAAGCUCCGGCUAACUCCGUGCCAGCAGCCGCGGUAAUACGGAGGGAGCUAGCGUUGUUCGGAAUUACUGGGCGUAAAGCGCACGUAAGCGGAUAUUCAAGUCAGAGGUGAAAGCCCGGGGCUCAANCCCCGGAACUGCCUUUGAAACUAGAUAGCUUGAAUCCAGGAGAGGUGAGUGGAAUUCCGAGUGUAGAGGUGAAAUUCGUAGAUAUUCGGAAGAACACCAGUGGCGAAGGCGGCUCACUGGACUGG
RNAcentral lists this ribosomal RNA (610 nucleotides) under uncultured Alphaproteobacteria bacterium. RNAcentral describes it as "bacterial SSU rRNA". It matches the Rfam family "Bacterial small subunit ribosomal RNA", at positions 93 to 737 of the family's 1533-position model. The record is from RNAcentral. Lineage: Bacteria; Pseudomonadati; Pseudomonadota; Alphaproteobacteria.